This 77-nucleotide transfer RNA is filed under the name Chitinispirillales bacterium. RNAcentral describes it as "tRNA-Pro". It matches the Rfam family "tRNA". Rfam says of the family: Transfer RNA (tRNA) molecules are approximately 80 nucleotides in length. Their secondary structure includes four short double-helical elements and three loops (D, anti-codon, and T loops). Further hydrogen bonds mediate the characteristic L-shaped molecular structure. tRNAs have two regions of fundamental functional importance: the anti-codon, which is responsible for specific mRNA codon recognition, and the 3' end, to which the tRNAs corresponding amino acid is attached (by aminoacyl-tRNA synthetases). tRNAs cope with the degeneracy of the genetic code in two manners: having more than one tRNA (with a specific anti-codon) for a particular amino acid; and 'wobble' base-pairing, i.e. permitting non-standard base-pairing at the 3rd anti-codon position. The record is from RNAcentral. Lineage: Bacteria; Pseudomonadati; Fibrobacterota; Chitinispirillia; Chitinispirillales.
CGGAGAGUAGCGCAGUCUGGUAGCGCCCCGGUUUUGGGAACCGGUUGUCGCAGGUUCAAAUCCUGUCUCUCCGACCA